UAGGGAAUCUUCGGCAAUGGACGAAAGUCUGACCGAGCAACGCCGCGUGAGUGAAGAAGGUUUUCGGAUCGUAAAACUCUGUUGUUAGAGAAGAACAAGGACGUUAGUAACUGAACGUCCCCUGACGGUAUCUAACCAGAAAGCCACGGCUAACUACGUGCCAGCAGCCGCGGUAAUACGUAGGUGGCAAGCGUUGUCCGGAUUUAUUGGGCGUAAAGCGAGCGCAGGCGGGUUCUUAAGUCUGAUGUGAAAGCCCCCGGCUCAACCGGGGAGGGUCAUUGGAAACUGGGAGACUUGAGUGCAGAAGAGGGGAGUGGAAUUCCAUGUGUAGCGGUGAAAUGCGUAGAUAUAUGGAGGAACACCAGUGGCGAAGGCGGCUCUCUGGUCUGUAACUGACGCUGAGGCUCGAAAGCGUGGGGAGCAAACAGG
This 429-nucleotide ribosomal RNA is filed under the name Gemmatimonadota bacterium. RNAcentral's name for it is "Gemmatimonadetes bacterium partial 16S ribosomal RNA". It matches the Rfam family "Bacterial small subunit ribosomal RNA", at positions 355 to 776 of the family's 1533-position model. The record is from RNAcentral. Lineage: Bacteria; Pseudomonadati; Gemmatimonadota.